CCCCAGGCCAUUCCAAAUGUGUCUUUUUGAGGGACCUACAACUUUGGGGCUUGGGUCUGUCAGGAGGAAAAUCCCGAGCAUGCCAGUCUCAUAUCUUUGAUUCCAAGCUCUCCCAGGGCUCACUGCUAGAGAAGAGCCUUUGGGAAUGAUCACCCUGAAAUCAUUUAACCAUGAGAGAAGAAACAGCCAGGCUCCGUGGUGCAAGAUUAACUUCAAGCCAGGCUUCCAGGCUACUUCUGAACUUUUCUUGGGCUGAACAUGAAGCAAAUGCUAACGACCAUAUCCAGGCUCUACUGGGGCGCAGGACACUCAGUACCUCCAGAUAAUCGAGCCCUUGCUGACACUUCUUCCUUGAGGAAAAGAAGAAUUAUCAUCUUCCUGGGAUGGUCAUCAGCCCCAGCCACACACAACCUCUGCCUCCUCCUUACAGGUUCGUUCCAUUUCCCCAUCCAUGGCCGUUUAACUCUUGCCUAGUAGGUAACUCUUAGGAAGCAGUUUUUCCUUAGGCCUCCAAGUCAAAGCAAUGUCCAUUUGCAGCAGAGAAUCCCCAGUAAGCUAAAAAGUGAAUGCAAGUCUGGCUACCAAGAGCCAUCAUGAGGUCCUGAGAGGCCUGUGGGAGGUAAGGAUAGUCAUGUGUCAGUCUUUAACUCAUGGCCUCAUAACAAGAGAACUGGCUCUCCUGCCUGUUUCUAUAGCUGCCUUUUGAGAAGGUUUUUUUCUUUUGUUUAAUGGAAACAAGCCCUCUGCUCUUUCACCUGUCCAGGAGAAAGUAUGUGUAGAUAAGUGAACAGAUGACACUCUGUUGUGCAUUUGAGCUUUUUGCAAAAGAGCCUUUCUUCGAGUGUGGCAUUUUUUUUUCCACAAAAUUUCCACUGACUUGGACUGAGAAGCUUCUCUGCUUUUGCUGUUUGGGAGAUAGGCCUUUUGCUAUGAUCAUUCUGAUUUACAAUGUCCAUUAAAACCUUUAGGAGAGGCCUCAGAAUAUCAUUCCAGAAUAUCAAGAAGACCUGAUCCCUAUCUUCCAGGAGGAUGGUGUCUGUCCUCUACUUGAGCCUGAACCACAAGGUUCUAUGCUCACCCAACUGUCUAGGGGCUGAGUCUGGCUGCAGCUGCAGGGCUGGUCUCUAAAAUGUGUUGUCCUCUUAGAGGGGCAGGCAGCAAGAGGCUUGCCACACAGACACAAGACAGGUAGCUACAGUAACAGGCAUGCCUCACAGUUGCUGACUCAUGAUGUUUCUGAUGAGUCCACAUGCAUGGGGGCAUGUGCACAGCACAUCUUUGCAGUAGAGGAGCAAAUAAGAUCAUAGCUGAGGCCAGCCCCUAAGAAAGCUGAGGUCAGAAAGUUUCCGUGGAACUUGGCCCCGCUGUUGAAGUUCAUUCUUUUCUUUUGAACCAUGUACUUUCUUGAAAACCUGGCUCUACUUUCUAUCAAAUUCACGGAGCUACUAACCUCAACAUAGGGCAGGCAUUGCAGCCUCCUGUAGCCUCGCAUUCUAAGCCUUGAUAAAGGAAAUGGUGGCAGCUUCUUUGGACAACUAGAGUUUACAAGAGAUGAAGAGAAAAAAAGACUCAACACUGGACUCUUCUCGUGAGCUAUUGUGUGCUUGCUUUUCUCGCUCUACCCUUUCCAAGGGUCUCCAGUUUUCAUAACCCAGUACCCUGAGAUAAAACCUUAUUGCUGCUUAGAUUUUGCUAUGGAAAAACAGUAUAAAGCCUCUUCCUUCAGACUACAAUUGGUAUGCCUACCCUUGGACCACCUUCUGUACCUAUUUAUACAACCAGCCACCCAGCUAUCGAAAUUGACAGGCAUGUAGGCUAGAUCCUGCAUAGGCACAUGUGGUGCCUCCUCUGAAAAGUCUCGACUCAGGACAAUGAUUUAAUCUAUGACAAACUAGCUCACCCUAGGAGAGAAGUAUCCUUUAUCCUACAAGAAGAUGCUGGGCAUUUUUCCAGUUCAUUGACACACCAUCCUAUAGUAGAUCACAAGUAAAUGUUGUCCAUUAGAAGGGCAUUGUGGCUACUGGCAUUGUUAUAUUAUUAUAACUAUUUUCCAGGAGAUUUUAGCAUUAAUAAAUGAAUACGGUUCCAUCUUGGAGGUUACUGUCAAUGAUUACAGCUUUUGUUGUAAACCUGCUCUAAACCUCUCAUGUUCCGUUCACUAUGUCACAGUGCCGCCUUGUCUAGCCACAACCACUGUUAUUUUAUAG
This 2207-nucleotide long non-coding RNA is filed under the name Rattus norvegicus (Norway rat). RNAcentral describes it as "long non-coding RNA NONRATT001915". The record is from RNAcentral. Lineage: Eukaryota; Metazoa; Chordata; Mammalia; Rodentia; Muridae.